Molecule: ribosomal RNA, 110 nt
Filed under: Propithecus coquereli (Coquerel's sifaka)
Lineage: Eukaryota; Metazoa; Chordata; Mammalia; Primates; Indriidae
Source: RNAcentral
GUCUACGGUCAUAUCACCCUGAAUGCGCCUGAUCUCAUCUGAUCUCGGAAACUAAGCAGGGUCUGGCCUGGUUAGUACUUGGAUGGGAGAAGAGACAUAUUCUGUAUCAU